CUCUGGCCAUCCUUGGGGAGAUCCUGUUUGGCAUUAAGUUGUCGGGCAGGGGAUACCCAUCGUUUACUGUGAAAAAAUUAGAGUGUUUAAAGCAGGCUUAUGCCGUUGAAUAUAUUAGCAUGGAAUAAUAAGAUAGGACUUCGGAACUAUUUUGUUGGUUUGCGUUACGAAGUAAUGAUUAAUAGGGACAGUUGGGGGUAUUCGUAUUUCGUUGUCAGAGGUGAAAUUCUUGGAUUUCCGAAAGACGAACUACUGCGAAAGCAUUUACCAAGGAUGUUUUCAUUAAUCAAGAACGAAAGUUAGGGGAUCGAAGAUGAUUAGAUACCAUCGUAGUCUUAACCAUAAACUAUGCCGACUCGGGAUUGGUGG
RNAcentral lists this ribosomal RNA (369 nucleotides) under Minidiscus sp. RCC4590. RNAcentral's name for it is "SSU rRNA". It matches the Rfam family "Eukaryotic small subunit ribosomal RNA", at positions 689 to 1059 of the family's 1831-position model. Lineage: Eukaryota; Bacillariophyta; Thalassiosirophyceae; Thalassiosirales; Thalassiosiraceae. The record is from RNAcentral.